This 45-nucleotide small RNA is filed under the name Seminavis robusta. The record is from RNAcentral. Lineage: Eukaryota; Bacillariophyta; Bacillariophyceae; Naviculales; Naviculaceae.
AAACAGGUGAUUUUUAUCACCACCCACACCAACAAAGCCGAUUCU